RNAcentral lists this long non-coding RNA (512 nucleotides) under Capsicum annuum. RNAcentral's name for it is "long non-coding RNA (CANN_LNC013573)". The record is from RNAcentral. Lineage: Eukaryota; Viridiplantae; Streptophyta; Magnoliopsida; Solanales; Solanaceae.
UUAAAUAAUGAAACAAUCUAAUAAUUAUAAAAAUUUAUAAAUAUUCAUGAUCUGAAGGAUUAAAAUUAUACAUUUUGUAUGAGGGAAAAUGGCAGUUGGAGAGAUUAGGCUGGUCGGGGUCGAAUAUACCGAAAGUCGGCCCAUGAUAUCCUCAUCUCAAGAGCAGUGUCGGAACAAAGGGGCAUCCUUUCAGGUAAAGGCAAAGCUGCACGAGAUCAGUUAAGAUGGUGACUCUGCGCUAAAGAACAAAUGAAAGGACAAUGGGUUAGGAUAUUUAAAUAGCACCGGCAACAUUGGGCAAAGCUGCGUCUGACAUAUGCGAAUAAAAUGGCCCUGUCCAACGGCUCCAAGCUAGUAGCACUCUCGUAUUGGUCAUAGACAGAUCUGUCAUCCUAUAAAUAGUCACCUCCUUCCUCAUUGUAAAGGAUUCGUAAUUUCUGCUCCUCUUUAUUCUCAAGCAAUAAAAGAUCUUUAGUUUUGUCCUUAAAUUUUCUCUGUUGGCCUUAAAUUUC